Non-coding RNA from Pelobates cultripes (western spadefoot toad), 86 nucleotides. NCBI's taxonomy places the organism in Eukaryota, Metazoa, Chordata, Amphibia, Anura, Pelobatidae. The record is from the annotation of a GenBank genome assembly.
GUUUUCAUUGUGGACUUUUCAAUUAAUCAGCACAAAUCUAUCGUGCUAGAUUUGUGCUGAUUAAUUGAAAAGUCCACAAUGAAAAC